GCCUUGGGCAGGGCGGCGGUGUCCAGUCCGGCGGCCUCCAGGGCCGCGUCGAUCCGGGCCCGGGCGGUGGCCCGGCGCUCGGCGCGCGACCGCAGCA
This 97-nucleotide transfer RNA is filed under the name Streptomyces cavourensis. Its description in RNAcentral is "tRNA-Trp". Lineage: Bacteria; Bacillati; Actinomycetota; Actinomycetes; Kitasatosporales; Streptomycetaceae. The record is from RNAcentral.